CGGCCCUUUGGCCUGCUAGUCUCCCAGCGAGGGAGGCGACACGCUCAAUGUGCGGAGAGCCCUCCCCCGAGGAGGCAAUCCGCAGUGGCCGGCGCGGCCAUUCAGAGACUCAAUGAGCGUGGGUUCAGCGCGGCUGAGCUUGAGAUAGAGCCCGUCCCUGCCGGCAACGGCGGGGAGGAAACGGAACCUGCGGAAGGAUCAUUACAGAAGGAUAUCGCCCUCGGGCUUCUCUUCUCACCCUUUGUUUACCACACGUAGUUGCCUUGGCGCUCCGCGCCAGUGGAUCGAAACUCCUGAAUCAUUGCCGUCUGAGUACUAUUCAAUAGUUAAAACUUUCAACAACGGAUCUCUUGGUUCUGGCAUCGAUGAAGAACGCAGCGAAAUGCGAUAAGUAAUGUGAAUUGCAGAAUUCAGUGAAUCAUCGAAUCUUUGAACGCACAUUGCGCCCUCCGGUAUUCCGGGGGGCAUGCCUGUUCGAGCGUCAUUACAACCCUCAAGCUCUGCUUGGUGUUGAGCCCGCCCCGGCCUGCCCGGGGCUCGCUUCAAAGUCAGUGGCGGCCGCCGUCCGACCUUCAGCGCAGUAAUGCUCGCCGCUGUUAGGGAAGGGCAGCAAGGGCCGUCAUACAACCCCCACACACAAGGUUGACCUCGGAUCAGGUAGGGAUACCCGCUGAACUUAAGCAUAUCAAUAAGCGGAGGAAAAGAAACCAACAGGGAUUGCCUCAGUAACGGCGAGUGAAGCGGCAACAGCUCAAAUUUGAAAGCUGGCUCCUUCGGGGCCCGCGUUGUAAUUUGUAGAGGAUGCUUCGGGCGCGGCACCGGUCUAAGUUCUCUGGAACGAGACGUCAUAGAGGGUGAGAAUCCCGUAUGUGACUGGCUGCCUGUGCCCAUGUGAAGCUCCUUCGACGAGUCGAGUUGUUUGGGAAUGCAGCUCAAAAUGGGAGGUGUACUCCUUCUAAAGCUAAAUAUUGGCCAGAGACCGAUAGCGCACAAGUAGAGUGAUCGAAAGAUGAAAAGCACUUUGGAAAGAGAGUUAAACAGUACGUGAAAUUGUUGAAAGGGAAGCGCUUGCAAUCAGACUUGCGCGGCGUCGAUCAGCCUGGGUUCUCCCUGGUGCACUCGGCGCCGCUCAGGCCAGCAUCAGUUUCGGCGGUGGGAUAAAGGCCUAGGGAACGUGGGUCCCCUCGGGG
This 1190-nucleotide ribosomal RNA is filed under the name Leotiomycetes sp. genotype 694 JMUR-2016. Its description in RNAcentral is "eukaryotic LSU rRNA". The stretch from base 644 to 1190 matches the Rfam family "Eukaryotic large subunit ribosomal RNA", at positions 1 to 551 of the family's 3401-position model. The record is from RNAcentral. Lineage: Eukaryota; Fungi; Ascomycota; Leotiomycetes.